This 1141-nucleotide long non-coding RNA is filed under the name Gossypium barbadense (sea-island cotton). RNAcentral describes it as "long non-coding RNA (GBAR_LNC011273)". Lineage: Eukaryota; Viridiplantae; Streptophyta; Magnoliopsida; Malvales; Malvaceae. The record is from RNAcentral.
CCAAAAAUCCCCCGAGUAUCAAGUGUUUUUGAAUGAUCUUCCUGGGAAUGACUUCAACACCAUUUUCAGGUCCUUGUCUAUCUUCCAGAACAAACUGAGGGAGCAACUUGGACCCGGCAUUGGACCAUGUUUUUUCACUGGAGUACCUGGUUCUUUCUACGGAAGGCUUUUCAGGAAAAACAGCCUUCAUUUUGUACACUCUUCCUAUAGUCUGCAAUGGCUCUCUCAGGUUUAGUUUAUAUUUUAAUGAAGUACAGUAUAAUAUAAUAUAUCUGUAAUCAUUUUAGAAUGAAAAAUAGCUUAAUUUAUGAGUGGACUAUUUUGAUUUGAUCCAGGUUCCUCGAGGGCUGGAAAAUAAUAAAGGGAACAUUUACAUGGCUAGCACAAGUCCACCAAACGUGCUUAAGGCAUACUAUGAGCAAUUCCAACAGGAUUUUUCCUUGUUUUUGAAGUGUAGAUCAGAGGAACUGGUGGAUGGAGGGCGUAUGGUUUUGACAUUUUUAGGGAGAAGAAGUGAUGAUCCUUCAAGCAAAGAGUGUUGUUACAUUUGGGAGCUUUUGGCCAUGGCUCUCAAUGAUAUGGUCCUUGAGGUAUAGAAUGAAUAAUUCUACUCACCGUUGCUGGGAAUUGAACCGUACAUUUGCAGGAUAGGAUAUACAAUCUUUUAAAGAUAACUAUAUGAAUCAAUCAUAUUUAGGUUAUUCCAUCAGGGAUAGUUAUCAAUUGGACACUAGUUGAUAUUAUCUAUAUAUAUGAGCCACCCCACCUACCUAUGUAUCUUAUCAUUUUCCGGAAGUGGAAAUCUGAUAGUGUCUGGCCAAUAAACUAGUAAACUAGGGAGUUAAUUUCCUAAAGUAUAUUUUGCUGCAUAUAUAUAUAUAUAUAUAAAGUUGAUAAACUAGAUAUUAAUUAGAUAAUAAAGAAAACAUGAAAUAAAUGCAGGGAGUGAUAGAAGAAGAGAAACUGAACAGCUUCAACAUCCCACAAUACACACCAUCGCCAGCAGAGGUUAAAUAUGAGGUUGAGAAGGAAGGGUCGUUCAGCAUCGAUCGACUGGAAGUAACUGAAGUGAAUUGGAAUGCUUAUCAAAACGAAACUGACUUAUCUGAUGCAUUUAAAGAUGGUGGGUACAACGUCGCCA